Molecule: transfer RNA, 71 nt
Filed under: Loxodonta africana (African savanna elephant)
Lineage: Eukaryota; Metazoa; Chordata; Mammalia; Proboscidea; Elephantidae
Rfam family: tRNA
About the family: Transfer RNA (tRNA) molecules are approximately 80 nucleotides in length. Their secondary structure includes four short double-helical elements and three loops (D, anti-codon, and T loops). Further hydrogen bonds mediate the characteristic L-shaped molecular structure. tRNAs have two regions of fundamental functional importance: the anti-codon, which is responsible for specific mRNA codon recognition, and the 3' end, to which the tRNAs corresponding amino acid is attached (by aminoacyl-tRNA synthetases). tRNAs cope with the degeneracy of the genetic code in two manners: having more than one tRNA (with a specific anti-codon) for a particular amino acid; and 'wobble' base-pairing, i.e. permitting non-standard base-pairing at the 3rd anti-codon position.
Source: Rfam by way of RNAcentral
GUAGUGGUAGUUAAGUGGUAGAAUUCUCACCUUCCAUGUGGGAAACCUGGGUUCAAUUUCUGGCCAAUACA